Amphimedon queenslandica is the source of this 575-nucleotide long non-coding RNA. RefSeq lists it as uncharacterized. The record is from RefSeq and is a predicted model, not a curated record. The transcript is spliced from 3 exons. NCBI's taxonomy places the organism in Eukaryota, Metazoa, Porifera, Demospongiae, Haplosclerida, Niphatidae.
UAUUGUAGAGUUUAAACUGAAGGUUGAAAGAAUAAGGUUGCAAGUAGCUACAAAUGAAAUAUUCAAGUCCAAGAAAUCAGACACUCUGUAUUUUCGAACCUCUCUCCUAGUGAAAGCAGGAAGAGAGAAGGCAUUACUUGAGUAUAAGAAAGAGAUUGAGUUACUACAAGAAAAUAUAUCAAUAACUAGAAAGCAACUGCUGAUGAGUCAAAAGGCAAAUAUUCACAAGACGGGUCAGUGUAAACAAACACCAACAGCAACACGAACAGCAAAAUCUAUUUACACAUCAUGUAUUGACUAUCAAGGAAUAUAUAGUCAUCAUCUUGGAUUCAGUGAGGGAGAACAGCUGGAGAUAUAUGAUAAGUGUGAUAUUUUUUAUGGAGAGGAAGAUCCUUGGCAUCUGGUGAUGAGGGAGACAUUCCAAGUAGUUGUGUUUACUCAAUGUUGGAGUCACUUCAAUUGUUGGAGUUUCUAUUGAGAUUGGGCAAUGAUGAGAAAGUUUCUCAUAUCUUGGAGACUAUUAAUAAUGAUCCUAUUGUGAUACCGGCACUGAGACAAGACAAGGAACUACAUGA